This 470-nucleotide long non-coding RNA is filed under the name Homo sapiens (human). RNAcentral's name for it is "non-protein coding lnc-SOX6-7:4". Lineage: Eukaryota; Metazoa; Chordata; Mammalia; Primates; Hominidae. The record is from RNAcentral.
AGAGCAGCAGCAAAGGGAAGCAGCGUCCUCGCCAAUACCUGGGCUGUCCUUCAAGGCUCAGUGCAAGGAAAAACACCUGGGUUGGACAUCAGGUAGUGCUGACUUCCAGACCACUGAGGUCACCUGCAUAAGCGAGUCUGGCAACAAAUAAUCGUCUUCCAGAAAAUGACCAGAAACUCAGCCUGCUUUUUGUCAUUUCACCAGCCCCACCAUCUUUCCUUUAUUCUAGAGCUCCUGGCACACUUACAUGAAUCUCUUGAAAGAAGAGAAAUGAGAGCAUUCAUUCCAUACUAAUACAAUUGUGCCCUAUGGAAAGGCUUUUUGCUGGCAGACAUAGUAGACGGACCAUUUCCCAACUUCUUUUUCUUUGCCACCUUCCAGCCAAAGGUGUCCAUAUGACACAGCUCUGGACAGGAUAAUUGGAAGUCUGUUGUGGGAUUUCUGAGAAAGCUUUUGAUUUUCUGACAGAG